RNAcentral lists this ribosomal RNA (513 nucleotides) under uncultured bacterium. Its description in RNAcentral is "partial 16S ribosomal RNA". It matches the Rfam family "Bacterial small subunit ribosomal RNA", at positions 28 to 523 of the family's 1533-position model. The record is from RNAcentral.
GACGAACGCUGGCGGCAUGCCUAAUACAUGCAAGUCGAGCAGACAGAAGGGAGCUUGCUCCCGGAAGUCAGCGGCGGACGGGUGAGUAACACGUGGGCAACCUGCCCCUUGGAUUGGGAUAACUUCGGGAAACCGAAGCUAAUACCGAAUAAUACAAGGAACCUCCUGGUUCUCUGUUGAAAGAUGGCCUUUGUGCUGUCACUAAGGGAUGGGCCCGCGGCGCAUUAGCUAGUUGGUAAGGUAACGGCUUACCAAGGCGACGAUGCGUAGCCGACCUGAGAGGGUGCUCGGCCACACUGGGACUGAGACACGGCCAGACUCCUACGGGAGGCAGCAGUAGGGAGUCUUCCGCAAUGGACGAAAGUCUGACGGAGCAAUGCCGCGUGAGUGAGGAAGGCCUUCGGGUCGUAAAGCUCUGUUGUGAGGGAAGAACAAGUACCGGCGUAACUACCGGUACCGUGACGGUACCUCACCAGAAAGCCACGGCUAACUACGUGCCAGCCGCCGCGGUAA